Molecule: ribosomal RNA, 726 nt
Filed under: uncultured bacterium
Lineage: Bacteria
Description: bacterial SSU rRNA
Rfam family: Bacterial small subunit ribosomal RNA
Source: RNAcentral
AGGGUUUGAUCAUGGCUCAGAAUCAACGCUGGCGGCGUGCCUAACACAUGCAAGUCGAGCGCGAAAGUGGGCUUCGGCUCACGAGUAGAGCGGCGAACGGGUGAGUAACGCGUGGGUGAUCUGCCUUCGAGUGGGGAAUAACACCGGGAAACUGGUGCUAAUACCGCAUAACAUCCUCGGUUCGUUCCGAGGAUCAAAGCCGGGGACCGCAAGGCCUGGCGCUUGAAGAGGAGCCCGCGUCCGAUUAGCUUGUUGGCGGGGUAAUGGCCCACCAAGGCUUCUAUCGGUAGCCGGCCUGAGAGGGCGGACGGCCACACUGGGACUGAGACACGGCCCAGACUCCUACGGGAGGCAGCAGUGGGGAAUUUUCCGCAAUGGGGGAAACCCUGACGAAGCAACGCCGCGUGGAGGAUGAAGGCCCUCGGGUCGUAAACUCCUGUCGAUCGGGAAGAAUGCGUCCGACCCAAUACGUCGGCACGUUGACUGUACCGGUGGAGGAAGCCACGGCUAACUCUGUGCCAGCAGCCGCGGUAAGACAGAGGUGGCAAGCGUUGUUCGGAAUUACUGGGCGUAAAGCGCGCGCAGGCGGUUCGUCAAGUCCCGUGUGAAAUCCCCUGGCUCAACUGGGGAACUGCGCGGGAAACUAGCGGGCUUGAGUUCGGGAGAGGGAAGCGGAAUUCCGGGUGUAGCGGUGAAAUGCGCAGAUAUCCGGAGGAACACCAGUGG